UUUAGUCAUUGUCACGCCUUCAAUAUUUUGGGUUGCCUUUUUUGAUUCCUAAUAGGUUAUUUUGCCCGGUAGGUUUCUUUUGGGUACUAGGUUGAGGAUAGAUCAUCUAAGGGAAGGUAGGGUUCCGGGUUACCUUAUUCAUAUAUUAACUCUUCCUUACCUAAGAUGGUUGAGCCUAUGGGGUUAAGUCUUCCUUAGGUAUAGUCUAUUUAUCCAUAUGCACUAUUUGAUUUUUCUUUUCUUAUAAAUCCUGACCAUAUUUUUAUCCCUUAAUUCUUCUAUCUAAUUUGGCAGAAUGACAUUUCUUUAGUCCUUACUACUUCCAUCCCUUGAGUUGAGUUUCUUAAAGAGUUUUCUAUUGGAUUUCUAGCGCCUAAUAUAUUUCCUUUGGUUGCUAGGUUGGUUAGGGGUAAGCGAUUUGAGGUUAUGAUCUCACGUGACCACCUUAGUUCUUGUGAGCAUUUAUAUACCUAGUGCUCUUUCCAUGGGUUACUGCUGGUCAUGAUCCAUUUCCAAGCUUUCGUUUUCCUUACUUAUUCCAUUUGCCCGGGGGUUCACAUGGUAUUUCUCAUUAUUUCAUGUGAACUAGAGUUGACAAUUCCCAGUAGUUGGGGAUGAGGUUGGGUGACUACUUCUUGUCAAGAACACUUCGUGUCUCGACAUUUAUCCUUACCAGGUUCUAUGUUUGACCACCUUUGCGGUUAUCUAUCUUGGUUUUCAAGGAGUUCUUAUUAUCCCGUAUUUCUCCUUGAAUUUGGAAUUGGGGCAUAUUAUCUAAGGUUGUAAUCCUGAGUGUCCACUUCUCAUCAUAACUUGGUAUGAUGAUUUUUCUGAGCACCUAGUACUUGUUCCAAUUUUCAAGGGUGGUCACGAUCCUUUUUCAUGGUGUCUCUUAAGUUUUAGGGUGGAUUUGGACGGGUCUAUCCUUAAAGGUGGAAGCUGAGCGAUUUCUUUUCGUCGAGGGUUUGUAGGCCUGGAUGACUAGGCUUUAGGCUGGUUAUAUUUUACUUGGGAAUGGGCAUGGUAACCUAUUGGGUUUCUUUUUCUAAUAACUUUUGUGGUUUUCUUUGUCCUAUCGUGUUUUGAUUUGGGUUAUUUACUAUUAGGGUGGUUUAAUUUGGCGUAGUUCAUUUUUAAGUUCUACUUUAUUCUAGUUUUAUUAUUAUUAUUAUUCCUAAGUUCUUUGGGUUUUCUCUAUUCUCCUUUAUCUUAGGGUUUAUUAAUUUCUACUCUAGUUUUAUUUCUCCUUAGGGGUGAUAUUGAGGUGUAGUUAUUUUCAUCCUUUAUUUUUAUCCUAAGGUUCUUUGGGUUCCUUUAUUAACUUCCUUCCUUUAUUAUAUGUGGGUUAUUUAUUAUUACUACUAUUGGCCUUAGUUUGUUGUGGCUUUUAUUUUAUCUUUAUUCUUCUGACCCUUUCAGGUUAUAUUUGUUCUUGAGGUUUCCAUGGGUAUAUAUAUUUGCUGUUAUGGUUAUUUUUAGUUAUACCUUCAUUUAAUUUCUCCUCUUUAUGUCUAAAGGUUGCAUUUAUUUAGGGUACAUCUUACUGGUAUGGCUGGUUUUACUUAUAUUUUGUUCUACUUGUGUAGUUUAUUCUAUAUUACCUUUUGUUAUUUCUAUAGCCUAUAUUUAUUAAGAUUAAUUAUAUCCCUAGAUUUCUUUACACUUAUGUUUCUUUUGGUGGUUUCUUUAUGGGACAUUUCUUUAGUUUGUUAUAUUAUAUUACUCUUCCUUAUUUUCGAUGAUUUGACUUGGAUAUUUAUUAACUAUAUGCUAUUAGGUGGUGUUUGUAAGUUGGUUUCUCAGGAUAUUCUAAUGUCUCGACAGUUUGGUUAGGCUUAAUCACUUUUUAUCUAGGGUCAGUUUUGGUCCUUAUUUCAGGUUUCUCCUAGGAAUUUUCCUUAUCCUAGGGGUUCUUAGGGUUCUUAGGGUUUAAUGGAAACUCUUAUAUCCUUUAUUUCUUUGUUUCCUUAACUUUAAGGGUUAUCCAUUUUCUUUUCCAUUAAAAUUUCCAAGAUUUCCAACCUUAUCACUCUUUUCUUAUUUAAUGGAAACUCUUAUAUCCUUUCUUUCUUAUUUUUGUGAUUCCCUUGAUGUUCUUGGGACCUAAGAGUCAUGGGCCUACUUCAAUCAAUUUCUGCAUUUUCCAAGAUUAAUGUUCUACUUACUUCAGGAUCUACCCCAUUAAAGAGGAUUCGAACCCGUUAUCCGGAUGGAGCAUUUAGGGCUGUUUCCUAGAAAUCAUCUUUAUUUCCGGGUCUUCAUCUUGGUAGGUAGGUUUAGAUUGGUAAAGGCUAGAGUAGUUCCUUGGGUUUUCAGGAAAAGGGAGCCUUAUCCUCACAAUUUUACAACCUACUACCAACCAAUUCUAUAAUUACUACAUACGAGGGAUUUAUUUACUACGUAUAAUCAAACAUUAUUCAAUCAAAAAUACGUUACGACAAGGUCUUAGGCAUAUAUUUUGCAGAGUAUCUAAG
RNAcentral lists this long non-coding RNA (2474 nucleotides) under Setaria viridis. Its description in RNAcentral is "long non-coding RNA (SVIR_LNC006469)". The record is from RNAcentral. Lineage: Eukaryota; Viridiplantae; Streptophyta; Magnoliopsida; Poales; Poaceae.